GUGCCCAUAGCUCAGCAGGAUAGAGCGUCGGUUUCCUAAACCGCAGGCCGGAGGUUCGAAUCCUCUUGGGCACA
This 74-nucleotide transfer RNA is filed under the name Pseudobacteroides cellulosolvens ATCC 35603 = DSM 2933. RNAcentral describes it as "Bacteroides cellulosolvens ATCC 35603 tRNA". It matches the Rfam family "tRNA". Rfam says of the family: Transfer RNA (tRNA) molecules are approximately 80 nucleotides in length. Their secondary structure includes four short double-helical elements and three loops (D, anti-codon, and T loops). Lineage: Bacteria; Bacillati; Bacillota; Clostridia; Eubacteriales; Oscillospiraceae. RNAcentral also lists the same sequence under 1 other name. The record is from Rfam by way of RNAcentral.